Molecule: ribosomal RNA, 404 nt
Filed under: Actinomycetes bacterium
Lineage: Bacteria; Bacillati; Actinomycetota; Actinomycetes
Description: Actinobacteria bacterium partial 16S ribosomal RNA
Rfam family: Bacterial small subunit ribosomal RNA
Source: RNAcentral
UGGGGAAUAUUGGACAAUGGGCGCAAGCCUGAUCCAGCCAUGCCGCGUGAGUGAUGAAGGUCACAGGGCUGUAAAGCUCUUUCAUCGGUGAAGAUAAUGACGGUAACCGGAGAAGAAGCCCCGGCUAACUUCGUGCCAGCAGCCGCGGUAAUACGAAGGGGGCUAGCGUUGUUCGGAUUUACUGGGCGUAAAGCGCACGUAGGCGGACUAUUAAGUCAGGGGUGAAAUCCCGGGGCUCAACCCCGGAACUGCCUUUGAUACUGGUAUUCUUGAGUUCGAGAGAGGUAAGUGGGAUUCCGAGUGUAGAGGUGAAAUUCGUAAAUGUUCGGAGGAACACCAGGGGCGAAGGCGGCUCACUGGCUCGAUACUGACGCUAAGGUGCGAAAACGUGGUGAGCAAACAGG